CACGUAGGGGGCCAGCGUUGUCCGGAAUUACUGGGCGUAAAGAGCGCGUAGGCGGUUUAGUAAGCGGAGGGUGAAAUUCCGGGGCUCAACUCCGGAGCUGCUCUCCGAACUGCUAGACUAGAGUUCGGGAGAGGGUAGUGGAAUUCCUGGUGUAGCGGUGGAAUGCGUAAAUAUCAGGAAGAACACCCGUGGCGAAGGCUGCUACCUGGAACGAUACUGACGCUGAGGCGCGAAAGCUAGGGGAGCGAACGGG
RNAcentral lists this ribosomal RNA (253 nucleotides) under uncultured bacterium. RNAcentral's name for it is "partial 16S ribosomal RNA". It matches the Rfam family "Bacterial small subunit ribosomal RNA", at positions 524 to 776 of the family's 1533-position model. The record is from RNAcentral.